AAAUGAAUUGACGGGGCCCCGCACAAGCAGUGGAUUAUGUGGUUUAAUUCGAAGCAACGCGAAAAACCUUACCGGGGUUUGACAUCCAACUAACGAAGCAGAGAUGCAUUAGGUGCCCUUCGGGGAAAGUUGAGACAGGUGGUGCAUGGUUGUCGUCAGCUCGUGUCGUGAGAUGUUGGGUUAAGUCCCGCAACGAGCGCAACCCUUAUUGUCAGUUGCUACGCAAGAGCACUCUGGCGAGACUGCCGUUGACAAAACGGAGGAAGGCGGGGACGACGUCAAAUCAUCAUGCCCCUUACAUCCCGGGCUACACACGUAAUACAAUGGCGCAGAACAGAGGGAGGCAAAGCCGCAAGGCGGAGCGAAACCCUAAAAGGCGUCUCAGUUCGGAUCGUGGGCUGCAACCCGCCCGCGUGAAGUCGGAAUUGCUAGUAAUCGCGGAUCAGCAUGCCGCGGUGAAUACGUUCCCGGGGCUUGUACACACCGCCCGU
RNAcentral lists this ribosomal RNA (491 nucleotides) under uncultured bacterium. RNAcentral describes it as "bacterial SSU rRNA". It matches the Rfam family "Bacterial small subunit ribosomal RNA", at positions 903 to 1397 of the family's 1533-position model. The record is from RNAcentral.